AGAGUUUGAUCAUGGCUCAGAUUGAACGCUGGCGGCAUGCCUUACACAUGCAAGUCGAACGGUAACGCGGGGCAACCUGGCGACGAGUGGCGAACGGGUGAGUAAUGCAUCGGAACGUGCCCAGUAGUGGGGGAUAGCCCGGCGAAAGCCGGAUUAAUACCGCAUACGGCCUACGGGUGAAAGGGGGGGAUCGCAAGACCUCUCGCUAUUGGAGCGGCCGAUGUCAGAUUAGGUAGUUGGUGGGGUAAAGGCCUACCAAGCCGACGAUCUGUAGCUGGUCUGAGAGGACGACCAGCCACACUGGGACUGAGACACGGCCCAGACUCCUACGGGAGGCAGCAGUGGGGAAUUUUGGACAAUGGGCGCAAGCCUGAUCCAGCCAUGCCGCGUGCGGGAAGAAGGCCUUCGGGUUGUAAACCGCUUUUGUCAGGGAAGAAAUCUUCUGAGUUAAUACCUCGGGAGGAUGACGGUACCUGAAGAAUAAGCACC
RNAcentral lists this ribosomal RNA (489 nucleotides) under uncultured Ideonella sp. RNAcentral describes it as "bacterial SSU rRNA". It matches the Rfam family "Bacterial small subunit ribosomal RNA", at positions 8 to 494 of the family's 1533-position model. Lineage: Bacteria; Pseudomonadati; Pseudomonadota; Betaproteobacteria; Burkholderiales; Sphaerotilaceae. The record is from RNAcentral.